RNAcentral lists this ribosomal RNA (435 nucleotides) under uncultured bacterium. Its description in RNAcentral is "partial 16S ribosomal RNA". It matches the Rfam family "Bacterial small subunit ribosomal RNA", at positions 30 to 507 of the family's 1533-position model. The record is from RNAcentral.
AGCGAACGCUGGCGGCAUGCUUAACACAUGCAAGUCGAGCGGGAACUUUUGGUUGCCAUCGGCGGACGGGUGAGUAACGCGAGGAACCGGCCUUUGUGGGUGGACAUCACCCAGGGACACUUGCUCUUAUCCCGGAUACGCCCUUUUGGAGAAAGGCUUGCGGCCGGGGGAUGGGCUCCCGUUGGUUUGGCUAGUGGGUGGGGAAACGGCUCACCAAGGCGAGGACCAUUACCUGGUCGGAGGGGAGGAUCGCCCACACGGGGACUGGGACACGGCCCAGACUCCUACGGGAGGCAGCAGGGGGGAAUAUUGGAAAAUGGGCGAAAGCCGGAUCCAGCAAUGCCGGGUGAGUGAUGAAGGCCUUAGGGUUGGAAAGCCCUUUUACCCGGGAGGAUAAUGACGGUACCGGGAGAAUAAGGCACGGCUAACUUCGUG